UACAGAGGGUGCGAGCGUUAAUCGGAAUUACUGGGCGUAAAGGGUGUGUAGGCGGCUGGAUAAGUCUGGCGUGAAAUCUUCACCGCUUAACGGGAAGGGGUCGCUGGAAACUGUUCAGCUUGAGUAUGGUAGAGGCAAGCGGAAUUCCUGGUGUAGCGGUGGAAUGUGUAGAUAUCAGGAAGAACACCGGUGGCGAAGGCGGCUUGCUGGGCCAUCACUGACGCUGAGACACGAAAGCGUGGGGAGCAAACGGG
RNAcentral lists this ribosomal RNA (254 nucleotides) under uncultured bacterium. Its description in RNAcentral is "partial 16S ribosomal RNA". It matches the Rfam family "Bacterial small subunit ribosomal RNA", at positions 524 to 776 of the family's 1533-position model. The record is from RNAcentral.